GACGAACGCUGGCGGCGUGCCUAAUACAUGCAAGUAGAACGCUGAAGAGAGGAGCUUGCUCUUCUUGGAUGAGUUGCGAACGGGUGAGUAACGCGUAGGUAACCUGCCUUGUAGCGGGGGAUAACUAUUGGAAACGAUAGCUAAUACCGCAUAACAAUGGAUGACACAUGUCAUUUAUUUGAAAGGGGCAAUUGCUCCACUACAAGAUGGACCUGCGUUGUAUUAGCUAGUAGGUGAGGUAACGGCUCACCUAGGCGACGAUACAUAGCCGACCUGAGAGGGUGAUCGGCCACACUGGGACUGAGACACGGCCCAGACUCCUACGGGAGGCAGCAGUAGGGAAUCUUCGGCAAUGGGGGCAACCCUGACCGAGCAACGCCGCGUGAGUGAAGAAGGUUUUCGGAUCGUAAAGCUCUGUUGUAAGUCAAGAACGAGUGUGAGAGUGGAAAGUUCACACUGUGACGGUAGCUUACCAGAAAGGGACGGCUAAUAC
RNAcentral lists this ribosomal RNA (493 nucleotides) under Streptococcus sp. oral taxon C65. Its description in RNAcentral is "bacterial SSU rRNA". It matches the Rfam family "Bacterial small subunit ribosomal RNA", at positions 28 to 503 of the family's 1533-position model. The record is from RNAcentral. Lineage: Bacteria; Bacillati; Bacillota; Bacilli; Lactobacillales; Streptococcaceae.